GUCUACGGCCAUACCACCCUGAACGCGCCCGAUCUCGUCUGAUCUCGGAAGCUAAGCAGUGUCGGGCCUGGUUAGCACUUGCAUGGGAGACCGCCUGGGAAUACCGGGUGCUGUAGGGU
This is a ribosomal RNA of Homo sapiens (human), 119 nucleotides long. Lineage: Eukaryota; Metazoa; Chordata; Mammalia; Primates; Hominidae. The record is from Ensembl.